Molecule: long non-coding RNA, 1245 nt
Organism: Branchiostoma floridae (Florida lancelet)
Lineage: Eukaryota; Metazoa; Chordata; Leptocardii; Amphioxiformes; Branchiostomatidae
Exons: 2
Source: RefSeq, a predicted model, not a curated record
CACACGCCUCUCGCUACAAAUUGAACAGGCGCUAGCGCCUGAUUGGUGGACCGGCGGGUGGCAAAGCUGGCUCUGAUUGGCUUAUUCUGGCACUUCGGGGUUACAAUUAUUCAGCCAAAAUGGCCGCCGCUGGAUGUUGUCGAGGACUGUGUUUUCCUGACUUUUGCGUAAUUUCUCAGCGAAACAGUAGAUCUACAGUGAGUUCAUUCCAAGACAUACAGAUUACUAGUACUUGAUAACACCAGGUCAAAAAAGGUGGAAGGAAACUUCAUGACUACAACAAGUGAUGUGCAUGUGAUAAUGACCAGGUAGGGCAUCCAUAUGUGAUAGGGAACAGGUAGGGCAUCCAUACUAUUGGGACCAUGUAGUGCAUCCAUACUAUUGGGACCAGUUAGGGCAUCCUUGCAAUAGGACAUGAGGGCUCAAAAUUCAUUUUUGGGAUUAGUUAUUGGUUAACUAAUUAAGUUACAGAUGAUAGUAACUAGGUAGGGCACUGUAUGGGUAAUAGGGACAAGGUAGGGCACUUUAUGGGUGUAUAGUAUAGGGAGAGGGUUUAUAUAUAAGGGGACUUUAUGGAUGGAGCUGUGUAAGUUCUAACUAAACAAAUUCUAGGUAGAGGUACACGGGUUUAGGUACAGGUCCAGACCUGACUUUCUUGUUCAAAUAAUGAUUGAUCUUUGAUCACACCAAAUGCAUGUUCGAACUGAUACCUAAGCGUGUUUAAUUGUAGGAUCUAUAAUUCCCCACCACCAAUACCACCAGUAGGGAUUACUAGUAGUAGUAGUUUAUGGAAACAAAGCCAAAAAUCAUCCACAUGUUGCCAACAAGAAAAUUUGAUUGCAUUUUCUUCCUGAAUGCUAGCAUGUUUACAAAAUGUGAAAACUUCUGUCAGUUCCUUCGUGUUGGCUAAGUAAUAGACAAGCAGUCCUUCUGUGUAUACAUGUGUUGUAGGUACAGUACUUGUAUGCCAGGGUUCGGUUAUUUUCGACCUGUUCCUUAAUUGAUUGUACUGGUACUGUAUUGGUACAGUCUAUAACGUUACGUAUACCAGUACACAGCUCUAUGUAUGGGUGAUAGGGACUAGUUAGGGCAUCUGUACAUGAUAGGGGCUAGGUAGAGCUUUUUAUAUAGGUGGUAGGUUCUGUUUUUGAGAAACUGCCUUUCUUUGAUUGGUUAUGCACUGUUCCAUCAGUCUGGAACUCUAAUGUUCUUGACUAAUGCAACAUUGCAAAAGGUGUCAUUUCA